RNAcentral lists this ribosomal RNA (259 nucleotides) under uncultured archaeon. Its description in RNAcentral is "partial 16S ribosomal RNA". It matches the Rfam family "Archaeal small subunit ribosomal RNA", at positions 748 to 1004 of the family's 1478-position model. The record is from RNAcentral.
UAGCCGUAAACGAUACUCGCUAGGUGUCGGCCACGGUGCGACCGUUGUCGGUGCCGUAGGGAAGCCGUGAAGCGAGCCACCUGGGAAGUACGGCCGCAAGGCUGAAACUUAAAGGAAUUGGCGGGGGAGCACCACAACGGGUGGAGCUUGCGGUUUAAUUGGAUUCAACGCCGGAAAUCUUACCGGGACCGACAGCAACAUGAAGGCCAGGCUGAAGACUUUGCCGGAUUAGCUGAGAGGUGGUGCAUGGCGUAGUCGU